GUGGGGAAUUUUGGACAAUGGGCGCAAGCCUGAUCCAGCAAUGCCGCGUGCAGGAAGAAGGCCUUCGGGUUGUAAACUGCUUUUGUACGGAACGAAACGGUCCGGGUUAAUACCCUGGGCUAAUGACGGUACCGUAAGAAUAAGCACCGGCUAACUACGUGCCAGCAGCCGCGGUAAUACGUAGGGUGCAAGCGUUAAUCGGAAUUACUGGGCGUAAAGCGUGCGCAGGCGGUUUUGUAAGACAGGCGUGAAAUCCCCGGGCUCAACCUGGGAACUGCAUCUGUGACUGCAUUGCUGGAGUGCGGCAGAGGGGGAUGGAAUUCCGCGUGUAGCAGUGAAAUGCGUAGAUAUGCGGAGGAACACCGAUGGCGAAGGCAAUCCCCUGGGCCUGCACUGACGCUCAUGCACGAAAGCGUGGGGAGCAAACAGGAUUAGAAACCCGUGUAGUCC
RNAcentral lists this ribosomal RNA (450 nucleotides) under uncultured bacterium. RNAcentral describes it as "partial 16S ribosomal RNA". It matches the Rfam family "Bacterial small subunit ribosomal RNA", at positions 354 to 796 of the family's 1533-position model. The record is from RNAcentral.